AAAAGGAGAAGUAGUCAGUAUGAGGAAAUUAUUUUGAUGAAGAAAUAAAUAGAUGCAGUGAAAGUCUGUCCAGCAUGAAUCACAUGAUACACGUGUCAGUUUUUUGAAUGUUAAUUCCUAUUUUUGAAGCGUCAAACAAACAGUAUAUAAGCACUGAUCUUAGUGCUGUUUAGCACCUUCUCACUGGAAGGCUGAAGCUAUCGGUCGGUGCUGAAAUGAAAUCUACUCUACAAAUAUUCUACAUAUUCUCCAGAAGGUCUGCAACAAAAUCUGUUCUAUCCUAUUUUUUAAUGAUGUCUUGAUGUCUUCUGUUUUUCACAGAGAUAUUAAAGAUCACCAUGAGGCUGCUGACUGUGUUUGUGUUUCUUUGUGUAAUGGUCCCUCUGAUCAUUACUGCUCAAAAAUCGGGCAGCAGUGGGGCAGAGAAUAAUCCACAAGAAGAGCAAGCUGUUGACAAGAGGAUCCUGUGGCAUUGGCGCAAAACUUAUCGUUGCGUUAGAUGGCGAUGGGUAUGGAGAAAGCGAUGGGGGAAAGACGUGAACGAAUAAUAUAUAUACGCUCACCACUGAUACCGAUUUUGUCUGGGUCUGAAAAAGAAGAUGAUUCCUGGUCUUUCAUGAAAAUGGUCCAUCAGACAGAGAAGCAAAUACUUUCAUCCAACUCCCUGAACUAUCAGUUUCCCCUUUUACAUCUUUACUUAUUUUCUUUUGCUGUAUUGCUGCAUAAAGAAUGAAGCAACAAGUGACACAAACUGGAGUCGACCGGACUGUCUCUUUUAAUAACAAAAACUAUUCAUUUCUGUUCUUAUUAUCUUCAUCAUUAAACUCUUAAGCAUUAAAUGAAAUUGGUCUCUGAGUCUGUCACAUGUCACCUUUUUUAUUGGUCUAAACCCAAACACCAAAUUUGUUUUUCAUCUAUCUUCGUUUUAAAAUACCUAAAUAGAAAAUAACAAGUCUGACCUGCUAAUAUCUGACUGAGCUCAAAGCAUUUACUAAGAUCCUAAACAAUAACCUGAAUAAAGUAUUAAUAUUAAGUUGGUCUAAUGAUAAUUUCCAGAAUUGAUCUCAGCUACUGUUUGAUAUGCGAGUAAACAAAGCAGAUGAUAAAAGAAAAAGGACUCAUAAAAUACCUUUUCAAAAGGACACAUUUUAUUUUUGUCUUCAUUGAUACAAAUACAUUGUUGUCAUAUUUGACAACAAUAAGGAGAACAGUGGUUUUCCUCCCAACUUUUGACCAAUCACCUUAGUUUCCUGUUUAUCACACAUAAAAAAAGCAUUACAGUGGUAACUAGUGUUGUUUUUUAUGAGAGUAGACAAAUAUGCUUGAAUUAAAAGUUUUCACAAUUUAUUAUCAAAUGGUUAGAAUUUCAGAUUAUUUUACACAACUCCAUGGAGCUCUUUCUCUCUGGCUCAGAGACAAAGGCUGCUGUGCCUCAGCAGUAAAUGCAUAUAAAAUGAGGGCGAUUUAGACUUGUAGUCAAGACCACCUUAACCAAGACCAAGACAAAGUCGAGACGAG
Molecule: long non-coding RNA, 1518 nt
Organism: Oreochromis aureus
Lineage: Eukaryota; Metazoa; Chordata; Actinopteri; Cichliformes; Cichlidae
Source: Ensembl